This 264-nucleotide ribosomal RNA is filed under the name uncultured prokaryote. RNAcentral describes it as "partial 16S ribosomal RNA". It matches the Rfam family "Bacterial small subunit ribosomal RNA", at positions 524 to 788 of the family's 1533-position model. The record is from RNAcentral.
UACGUAGGGGCUAGCGUUAUCCGGAAUUACUGGGUGUAAAGGGAGCGUAGGUGGCAAAGUAAGUCAGAUGUGAAAGCCCGUGGCUUAACUGCGGGAUUGCAUCAGAAACUGCUUUGCUAGAGUGCGGUAGAGGAGACUGGAAUUCCUGGUGUAGCGGUGAAAUGCGCAGAUAUCAGGAGGAACACCGGUGGCGAAGGCGGGUCUCUGGGCCGGUACUGACGCUGAGGAGCGAAAGCGUGGGGAGCGAACAGGCUUAGAUACCCU